Ostrea edulis (European flat oyster) is the source of this 5587-nucleotide RNA transcript. RefSeq lists it as uncharacterized. The record is from RefSeq and is a predicted model, not a curated record. The transcript has 9 exons. Lineage: Eukaryota; Metazoa; Mollusca; Bivalvia; Ostreida; Ostreidae.
UUUUUUUUUUUUUUUUUACAAUUGUAGAUGACUGAAGAAUGCUGCUCUGGACCUUGAUAUUUCCUUAUAGGAAAUUGCCUAUCGAGUUACAUGUACGAAGCUGCAUAAAUGUUCAUCUAGAUAUUAACUUGAUGCAUAACAAUUUCAAUGUAUGAAUCAGUGUUUGCUAUUUAUUUAAGAGAAUGUUACAGUCAGUAUCCAUUUCUAUCCACAACAAAGACAUAGUAACGUAAUGAAGUGUCAAUUCACUGUUAAAGCAUUGUUAAGACGUCAUUCACUUGUUCUUUACAUCAAUAAUCUGAUGCGUAUAUAUAUAUAUAUAGUUGGGGGAAAGUUUCGAUAUUGUAAACCCACUGUUGGCUGAUAAGACCAUCUUUUCAUCACUUUAUCGUACAUGUCCGUUUCGCUUUCUGAUUAGAAAGGCAGGUAUCUAUAUUAAUUGUAAAAAAGGCAAGGUUGUAAAAAAGUUGAGCCCCUUUAACAAAACGUGGCCUCGUACAAGACUUGUAACAUUAUAUAUUGCUAAUCAUUUGUUGUUUUAUUCAUUCGUUCCGCAAUUUUUGAAUUUUUGAUGUCAGUUUUUCCAGAUCUAAAUCUUAUCAAAAUAUGUUCUUCAGGAUCAAAGUAUCUUCCUUAAGAACAACUCACUGAUCGGACUUGCUUAUCACAAAACACCCUGAAUCAGUUCCUUACAUGUAACGACAACAGACUUAAAAGCGAAUGUUUCCCUAAUGAAUUAAUGAAAAGGAGUCAAUGAACAUGUUAUUGUAUCAUUUUCCCUGCUGAUAAUUGACCAUUCACUACUUAGGCGCACGUGGCAUUUACAAACUUGACCCGAAAAGCGCUAUAUCCUGUGUCAAUAUACACGAACAAUAUCCAUCCUCUCCCUCUCUCCCCUCUCUCAACAAAAGUCCGAACAUUCGGAGGACAACAAAUAAGCUGACUUUGGUGCCUAACAAUUGUUUUAAAAUAUGUAUAUCUUAACUUUGAGUGUCUGGGCAUUUUUCCGUCGGACAUUGAAUGCACUCUAGACUGUGACUACUGCAAUUCAACGUGUGUGCCGUUCAACAACCAGUAUCCCCUCAUCCGAAAGGCACAUGCCGUCUAUCUUUCUCAGAUCAUACAUAUUGGUGCGUGCUAGUUCAGAUCACUCAGGAGUAGGUUGCCGUUCGGAAUGCCUCUAUUUUUUUAACAUCGAGUUCGAUAAUCGAAUUAUUCCACCUCGGUUUUCCCGAAAUCAUGUCACUCAUCGCAGUAAAUUGAGUAAUCAGCAAUUUUGUGUAAACUGCUAUUAUUUCCAUCCGAUAUUUCACGAAGCUAAGUGUCUUUUAGUAUUUUUAUUAGACAUAAUAAUAGCAGUAGUAAUAUUUGAAUAUUUACGUUCGUGUUGUCCCUGUAGAAGAAUGUCUGGGAAUGAGCCAAAAUAUGUUGUUGUCAACACGGUGGAAGAAGUCGAAAAGUUAGUGACUGAGUUUGAAAUAGACACCAUCACUAAAUUUACAAUAUUUAGGCGAAAUAAAGGAUUUGGUCAUGAUCUGGAUUGCCUUCAAGGUCACAGAGUGCUUUGGGAGGACAAGGGACAAGAGGAGGGUGUUAAAGUAUUCUGUAAUGGCAUGCCAUUCAUUAUUUUUGGUUUUGAUGUCAGAGAAUGUCACUUUGGGCCGGACAGAAAUACUAUGAAAAAGAAGAAGUACCAAAUGGAGAAGACCAUAGAAGCAGACCAAGACCAUUCUUAUACACAAAAGAGCAGGACUUUGGUACAAAAUACAAAAAAACUUGAUUGCCCUGCCAGAAUUUAUAUGAAAAAGAUAUUCAAAUUUCCUGAUUAUAAGAUCCUUGGCCAUGAUUCUGUCUGGAAGAGAAAAAAACAAGCGCAGAAAUUGAAGAAGGCUCUUUCCGCAAAUGAAGAUAUGCGCAGGGAAGAGGAAAUUCACAUUUUCCCCCCAGGAAUUGAGAGCCACAAAAAUCAUUUGACAGGACAGGUAUUUGUCUACCAAUCGACAAUGUGAUCAAGGAAAAAAUAUCACAUCUGAUGGAUGAAGGAGUGUCAAAAGUUUCAGAAAUGAGACGUCACAUCAAGUCAUUUAACAGGAAGGAACUUAAAAUGACUGAUGAAGAAAAUCGACGCUUCUUUCCAUUUGAUAAAGAUAUUAGAAAUCUAAUGAAUUCUUUCAAGGAACAGACACGAUUUUCCAAAGAUGACAAGGAGAAUUUGAAAGAAAUCAUUGAUAACUUUAUAGCAGCAAAUGAAGAAGACAGCUUUUAUCUUGAUAUAUCAGGAACUGAAGAAUUUCUCUUUGUUGGGCAAACAGAGUAUCAGAAAAGGCUGCUGAAAAUAUAUGGCCAAGAAAUAUGUCUGUUAGAUGCCACAUACAAAACUACGAAGUACAACUUGCCAGCAUUCUUUGUAUGUGUGAACACAAAUGUCGGCUACUCUACAGUUGGGUGUUUCAUUACUGCGAAUGAAACAAAAGCUUCCAUCAAAAGAGGUCUGCAGUAUUUAAAGCAGUGGAAUGAAAAUUGCCAUCCAGAAUUCUUCAUGACUGAUUUUGAUACAUCAGAAAUAGGUGCAGUAGAGGAAACUUUCCAAGAUUCAUCACCUUCGAAAGACAGUACAGGAGUUAAUCCACUGCAGUGUAAAUGAUACUCUAGACAUAUACAUACCGGAGAUUUUAAUCAAGAUAAUUAAACAACAAGAAGAUGUUAAUAGACUUGUUGCAGAAUUAAUGUUCCUUGAAAUAUAAGCCACAACCAUUCCCAUUCCUUCUGCCUGGUGUGCAAGAUAAAUGAUGUGGUGAAAAGAACUGAUGUGCUGAAAGAGGGUCUGAUAUUUCAAAAAAGAGCCUGAUGUGUGAAAACUUCUACUGUGAAUGAUAACUGCUAUACACUGUAUAUAUAGUAAUGUGAAACAAGUCAAAUUUCUACAUGUAUAACCUAUAUUUUAGACAAUGUACAUGAACCUACUUAUCUACCUCUGUGUGAUGUGAAAAUAAGUCCAAUCUUUAAAACCUACCUCUGGGUGAUGUGAAAUAAGUCAAAUAUUUAAAACCUACCUCUGAGUAAUGUGAAAUAAGUCAAAUAUUUAAAACCUACCUCUGAGUGAUGUGAAAUAAGUCAAAUUCUUAAAACCUCCUUCUGAGUGAUAUGAAAUAAGUCAAAUUUCUAUAUUGUGUGUAUUUGACAUCAAACUUAUCAACCUACCUCUGAGUGAUGUUAAAUAAGUAAUAUCUUUAUAUCCUAUGUCUUAGACACUGUACAUGAACUUACCUACUUCUGAGUGAUGUGAAAUAAGUCAAAUUCUUAAAACCUACUUCUGAGUGAAGUGAAAUAAGUCAAAUUCUUAAAACCUACUUCUGAGUGAUCUGAAAUAAGUCAGAUAUUUAAAACCUACCUCUGAGUGAUGUGAAAUAAGUCAAAUAUUUAAAUCCUCCUUCUGAGUGAUGUGAAAUAAGUCAAGAUUUCUAUAUUGUAUGUAUUUGACAUCAAACUUAUCAACCUACCUCUGAGUGAUGUUAAAUAAGUAAUAUCUUUAUACCCUAUGUCUUAGACACUGUACAUGAACUUACCUACUUCUGAGUGAUGUGAAAUAAGUCAAAUUCUUAAAACCUACUUCUGAGUGAUCUGAAAUAAGUCAGAUAUUUAAAACCUACCUCUGAGUGAUGUGAAAUAAGUCAAAUUCUUAAAACCUCCUUCUGAGUGAUGUGAAAUAAGACAGAUUUCUAUAUUGUGUGUAUUUGACAUCAAACUUAUCAACCUACCUCUGAGUGAUGUUAAAUAAGUAAUAUCUUUAUAUCCUAUGUCUUAGACACUGUACAUGAACUUACCUACCUCUGAGUGAUGUGAAAUAAGUCAAAUUCUUAAAACCUACUUCUGAGUGAAGUGAAAUAAGUCAAAUUCUUAAAACCUCCUUCUGAGUGAUCUGAAAUAAGUCAGAUAUUUAAAACCUACCUCUGAGUGAUGUGAAAUAAGUCAAAUAUUUAAAUCCUCCUUCUGAGUGAUGUGAAAUAAGACAGAUUUCUAUAUUGUGUGUAUUUGACAUCAAACUUAUCAACCUACCUCUGAGUGAUGUUAAAUAAGUAAUAUCUUUAUAUCCUAUGUCUUAGACACUGUACAUGAACUUACCUACUUCUGAGUGAUGUGAAAUAAGUCAAAUUCUUAAAACCUACUUCUGAGUGAUCUGAAAUAAGUCAGAUAUUUAAAACCUACCUCUGAGUGAUGUGAAAUAAGUCAAAUUCUUAAAACCUCCUUCUGAGUGAUGUGAAAUAAGACAGAUUUCUAUAUUGUGUGUAUUUGACAUCAAACUUAUCAACAUACCUCUGAGUGAUGUUAAAUAAGUAAUAUCUUUAUAUCCUAUGUCUUAGACACUGUACAUGAACUUACCUACCUCUGAGUGAUGUGAAAUAAGUCAAAUUCUUAAAACCUACUUCUGAGUGAUCUGAAAUAAGUCAGAUAUUUAAAACCUAUCUCUGAGUGAUCUGAAAUAAGUCAAAUAUUUAAAACCUCCCCCUGAGUGAUGUGAAAUAAGUCAGAUUUCUAUACACCGUACAUGAACCUACCUACUUCUGAGUGAUGUGAAAUAGGCCAAAUAUUUAAAACCUACCUCUGAGUGAUGUGAAAUAAGUCAAAUUCUUAAAACCUACUUCUGAGUGAUCUGAAAUAAGUCAGGAUUUUAUAUCCUAUGCCUUAGACAAAUACAUGAACUUUCCUACUUCUGAGUGAUGCGAAAUAAGUCGAAUUUCUAUUUUGUGUAUCGCUGACAUCGGACUUUAUCCUACGUCUAAGUGAUGUGAAAUAAGAAAACUUUCUAUACCUACUUCUGAGUAAUGUGAAUUAAGUCAAAUAUUUAAAUCCUACCCCUCAGUGAUGUGAAAUAAGUCAAAUUUCUGUACCUACCUCUGAGUGAUGUGAAAUGAGUAAAAUUUCUAUAUACUAUAUCUUAGACACCGUAAAUAUUUAUACGAUUAAUUUACUACUAUUAUUGAUUUUAAUUAUAUUUAAAUUAUUUUCAAAAUUCUUAUACUAUUUAUCCAGCUUUCUAUUUGAAACAGCUUACACUUUUCGCGAUAUUAGCAACAAACAUUGCUAAUUGGCUUGAAUUUUAGUGAUGAUUUUUAUAUACAUUUACUCUUGCUUGUAGUAUUUUAUUUCUCCCUCUUAAUCCUAUGCUUUUCGUAUUUGUAUAUUCUUGCAUGAAAUGUUUUUUUUUUUUUUUUUUGUAUUCUUUUGUUAAUCUGUGAUAUGUCUGUGUAUAUGUGUACAUGCAUACUAUGUGUCUUUGACUUUGAUAUACAUGUUUGUGAUAGUCGGUUAAAAAGCUCUACAGAGCUUGUAUUUGAUUUGUUGAAUGUAUAUAGUGCCGACUUUAAAUAAAAUUUACUUUACUUUACUUUUACAUUAUACCUACCUAGCUACCUCUGAGUGAUGUCAAAUAAGACAAAAUUCUAUAUUUUAGACACCCUAUAUAAACUUAAGUUUUUAUAUUUUGGACACGGUAUAUAAACUUAAGUUUCUAUUUUUAGACACUAGACCAAUCUCCCUCUGUGUGAUGUUAAAUAAGUCGAAUUCGUAUAUGUAUUAUACUCCUCAG